CAGAUUGUAAGGAAUCGUACCCCAAACCGACACAGGUGGUCGGGUAGAGAAUACCAAGGCGCUUGAGAGAACUCGGGUGAAGGAACUAGGCAAAAUGGUACCGUAACUUCGGGAGAAGGUACGCUCUCGACGGUGAAGUCCCUUGCGGAUGGAGCUAUUGAGAGUCGCAGAUACCAGGUGGCUGCAACUGUUUAUUAAAAACACAGCACUGUGCAAAAUCGUAAGAUGACGUAUACGGUGUGACGACAGCCCGG
This 254-nucleotide ribosomal RNA is filed under the name Vibrio parahaemolyticus. Its description in RNAcentral is "partial 23S ribosomal RNA". It matches the Rfam family "Bacterial large subunit ribosomal RNA", at positions 1628 to 1866 of the family's 2925-position model. The record is from RNAcentral. Lineage: Bacteria; Pseudomonadati; Pseudomonadota; Gammaproteobacteria; Vibrionales; Vibrionaceae.